AUGGUCAAGUGAAGAAGCGCAUACGGUGGAUGCCUUGGCAGUCAGAGGCGAUGAAAGACGUGGUAGCCUGCGAAAAGCUUCGGGGAGUCGGCAAACAGACUUUGAUCCGGAGAUGUCUGAAUGGGGGAACCCAGCCAUCAUAAGAUGGUUAUCUUGUACUGAAUACAUAGGUGCAAGAGGCGAACCAGGGGAACUGAAACAUCUAAGUACCCUGAGGAAAAGAAAUCAACCGAGAUUCCCUUAGUAGUGGCGAGCGAACGGGGACUAGCCCUUAAGUGGCUUUGAGAUUAGCGGAACGCUCUGGAAAGUGCGGCCAUAGUGGGUGAUAGCCCUGUACGCGAAAAUCUCUUAGUCAUGAAAUCGAGUAGGACGGAGCACGAGAAACUUUGUCUGAAUAUGGGGGGACCAUCCUCCAAGGCUAAAUACUACUGACUGACCGAUAGUGAACUAGUACCGUGAGGGAAAGGCGAAAAGAACCCCGGAGAGGGGAGUGAAAUAGAUCCUGAAACCGUAUGCGUACAAGCAGUGGGAGCCCACUUUGUUGGGUGACUGCGUACCUUUUGUAUAAUGGGUCAGCGACUUAUUUUCAGUGGCGAGCUUAACCGAAUAGGGGAGGCGUAGCGAAAGCGAGUCUUAAUAGGGCGUCUAGUCGCUGGGAAUAGACCCGAAACCGGGCGAUCUAUCCAUGGGCAGGUUGAAGGUUGGGUAACACUAACUGGAGGACCGAACCGACUACCGUUGAAAAGUUAGCGGAUGACCUGUGGAUCGGAGUGAAAGGCUAAUCAAGCUCGGAGAUAGCUGGUUCUCCUCGAAAGCUAUUUAGGUAGCGCCUCAUGUAUCACUGUAGGGGGUAGAGCACUGUUUCGGCUAGGGGGUCAUCCCGACUUACCAAACCGAUGCAAACUCCGAAUACCUACAAGUGCCGAGCAUGGGAGACACACGGCGGGUGCUAACGUCCGUCGUGAAAAGGGAAACAACCCAGACCGUCAGCUAAGGUCCCAAAGUUAUGGUUAAGUGGGAAACGAUGUGGGAAGGCUUAGACAGCUAGGAGGUUGGCUUAGAAGCAGCCACCCUUUAAAGAAAGCGUAAUAGCUCACUAGUCGAGUCGGCCUGCGCGGAAGAUGUAACGGGGCUCAAACCAUACACCGAAGCUACGGGUAUCACGUAAGUGAUGCGGUAGAGGAGCGUUCUGUAAGCCUGUGAAGGUGAGUUGAGAAGCUUGCUGGAGGUAUCAGAAGUGCGAAUGCUGACAUGAGUAACGACAAUGGGUGUGAAAAACACCCACGCCGAAAGACCAAGGUUUCCUGCGCAACGUUAAUCGACGCAGGGUUAGUCGGUCCCUAAGGCGAGGCUGAAAAGCGUAGUCGAUGGAAAACAGGUUAAUAUUCCUGUACUUCUGGUUAUUGCGAUGGAGGGACGGAGAAGGCUAGGCCAGCUUGGCGUUGGUUGUCCAAGUUUAAGGUGGUAGGCUGAGAUCUUAGGUAAAUCCGGGAUCUUAAGGCCGAGAGCUGAUGACGAGUCAUCUUUUAGAUGACGAAGUGGUUGAUGCCAUGCUUCCAAGAAAAGCUUCUAAGCUUCAGGUAACCAGGAACCGUACCCCAAACCGACACAGGUGGUUGGGUAGAGAAUACCAAGGCGCUUGAGAGAACUCGGGUGAAGGAACUAGGCAAAAUGGCACCGUAACUUCGGGAGAAGGUGCGCCGGUGAGGGUGAAGGACUUGCUCCGUAAGCUCAUGCCGGUCGAAGAUACCAGGCCGCUGCGACUGUUUAUUAAAAACACAGCACUCUGCAAACACGAAAGUGGACGUAUAGGGUGUGACGCCUGCCCGGUGCCGGAAGGUUAAUUGAUGGGGUUAGCUAACGCGAAGCUCUUGAUCGAAGCCCCGGUAAACGGCGGCCGUAACUAUAACGGUCCUAAGGUAGCGAAAUUCCUUGUCGGGUAAGUUCCGACCUGCACGAAUGGCGUAACGAUGGCGGCGCUGUCUCCACCCGAGACUCAGUGAAAUUGAAAUCGCUGUGAAGAUGCAGUGUAUCCGCGGCUAGACGGAAAGACCCCGUGAACCUUUACUAUAGCUUUGCACUGGACUUUGAAUUUGCUUGUGUAGGAUAGGUGGGAGGCUUUGAAGCGUGGACGCCAGUCUGCGUGGAGCCAACCUUGAAAUACCACCCUGGCAACUUUGAGGUUCUAACUCAGGUCCGUUAUCCGGAUCGAGGACAGUGUAUGGUGGGUAGUUUGACUGGGGCGGUCUCCUCCUAAAGAGUAACGGAGGAGUACGAAGGUGCGCUCAGACCGGUCGGAAAUCGGUCGUAGAGUAUAAAGGCAAAAGCGCGCUUGACUGCGAGACAGACACGUCGAGCAGGUACGAAAGUAGGUCUUAGUGAUCCGGUGGUUCUGUAUGGAAGGGCCAUCGCUCAACGGAUAAAAGGUACUCCGGGGAUAACAGGCUGAUACCGCCCAAGAGUUCAUAUCGACGGCGGUGUUUGGCACCUCGAUGUCGGCUCAUCACAUCCUGGGGCUGAAGCCGGUCCCAAGGGUAUGGCUGUUCGCCAUUUAAAGUGGUACGCGAGCUGGGUUUAGAACGUCGUGAGACAGUUCGGUCCCUAUCUGCCGUGGACGUUUGAGAUUUGAGAGGGGCUGCUCCUAGUACGAGAGGACCGGAGUGGACGAACCUCUGGUGUUCCGGUUGUCACGCCAGUGGCAUUGCCGGGUAGCUAUGUUCGGAAUAGAUAACCGCUGAAAGCAUCUAAGCGGGAAACUAGCCUCAAGAUGAGAUCUCACCGGGACCUUGAGUCCCCUGAAGGGCCGUCGAAGACUACGACGUUGAUAGGUUGGGUGUGUAAGCGCUGUGAGGCGUUGAGCUAACCAAUACUAAUUGCCCGUGAGGCUUGACCAU
Molecule: ribosomal RNA, 2894 nt
Filed under: Pseudomonas synxantha
Lineage: Bacteria; Pseudomonadati; Pseudomonadota; Gammaproteobacteria; Pseudomonadales; Pseudomonadaceae
Description: bacterial LSU rRNA
Rfam family: Bacterial large subunit ribosomal RNA
Source: RNAcentral